ACGGGUGAGUAACACGUAUCCAACCCGCCGUCUACUCUUGGACAGCCUUCUGAAAGGAAAGAAUUAAUACAAGAUGGCAUCAUGAGUUCACAUGUUCACAUGAUUAAAGGUAUUCCGGUAGACGAUGGGGAUGCGUUCCAUUAGAUAGUAGGCGGGGUAACGGCCCACCUAGUCUUCGAUGGAUAGGGGUUCUGAGAGGAAGGUCCCCCACAUUGGAACUGAGACACGGUCCAA
Molecule: ribosomal RNA, 234 nt
Filed under: uncultured bacterium
Lineage: Bacteria
Description: partial 16S ribosomal RNA
Rfam family: Bacterial small subunit ribosomal RNA
Source: RNAcentral